RNAcentral lists this ribosomal RNA (521 nucleotides) under uncultured bacterium. RNAcentral describes it as "bacterial SSU rRNA". It matches the Rfam family "Archaeal small subunit ribosomal RNA", at positions 345 to 866 of the family's 1478-position model. The record is from RNAcentral.
AACCUCCGCAAUGUGAGAAAUCGCGACGGGGGGAUCCCAAGUGCCAUUCUUAACGGGAUGGCUUUUCAUUAGUGUAAAGAGCUUUUGGAAUAAGGGCUGGGCAAGACCGGUGCCAGCCGCCGCGGUAACACCGGCAGCUCUAGUGGUAACAAUUUUUAUUGGGCCUAAAGCGUCCGUAGCCGGUUUAAUAAGUCUCUGGUGAGAUCCUGUAGCUUAACUGUGGGAAUUGCUGGAGAUACUAUUAGACUUGAGACCGGGAGAGGUUAGAGGUACUCCCAGGGUAGAGGUGAAAUUCUGUAAUCCUGGGAGGACCGCCUGUUGCGAAGGCGUCUAACUGGAACGGUUCUGACGGUGAGGGACGAAAGUUAGGGGCGCGAACCGGAUUAGAUACCCGGGUAGUCCUAACUGUAAACGAUGCGGACUUGGUGUUGGGGUGGCUUUGAGCUGUCUCAGUGCCGAAGGGAAGCUGUUAAGUCCGCCGCCUGGGAAGUACGGUCGCAAGACUGAAACUUAAAGGAAUU